GUGGCGAAUGAAGCGGGAAAAGCUCAAGUUUGAAAUCUGGCGGGCGACCGUCCAGAGUUGUAAGCUGGAGAGGUGUCGUCGGAUGCGGUCCGGGCUCAAUUUCCUUGGAACAGGAGGUCAUGGAGGGUGAGAACCCCGUAUGUGGCUUGGGUGCCGUGGUCCUUGUGACGUAUCCUCUAAGAGUCGGGUUGUUUGGGAAUGCAGCUCAAAAUGGGUGGUAAAUUUCAUCUAAAGCUAAAUAUUGGUGAGAGACCGAUAGCAAACAAGUAGAGUGAUCGAAAGAUGAAAAGUACUUUGAAAAGAGAGUGAAACAGUACGUGAAAUUGUUGAAAGGGAAGCGUUUGGCAUCAGCCCAUGGCGGCGGUCGAACAUCUGGGCUUCUGCCCAGUGCACUCGGCAGUCGCCGGGCCAGCGUCGGUUCCACCUGCUGGAGAAAGGCCUUGGGGAAGUGGCACUCCCUUGUGGAGUG
This 469-nucleotide ribosomal RNA is filed under the name uncultured Archaeorhizomycetes. RNAcentral describes it as "eukaryotic LSU rRNA". It matches the Rfam family "Eukaryotic large subunit ribosomal RNA", at positions 86 to 556 of the family's 3401-position model. The record is from RNAcentral. Lineage: Eukaryota; Fungi; Ascomycota; Archaeorhizomycetes.